RNAcentral lists this ribosomal RNA (243 nucleotides) under uncultured bacterium. RNAcentral's name for it is "partial 16S ribosomal RNA". It matches the Rfam family "Bacterial small subunit ribosomal RNA", at positions 529 to 771 of the family's 1533-position model. The record is from RNAcentral.
AGGGCGCGAGCGUUGUCCGGAAUUAUUGGGCGUAAAGAGCUCGUAGGCGGCUUGUCGCGUCUGCUGUGAAAACGCGGGGCUUAACUCCGCGCUUGCAGUGGGUACGGGCAGGCUUGAGUGUAGUAGGGGAGACUGGAAUUCCUGGUGUAGCGGUGGAAUGCGCAGAUAUCAGGAGGAACACCGAUGGCGAAGGCAGGUCUCUGGGCUAUAACUGACGCUGAGGAGCGAAAGCAUGGGGAGCGA